AUGGCUCCUACCGAAGCUGAGGAUGAUGUAGAGGAGGGAGAAGAGAAGAAGAAGAGGGAAAGGAAAGCAGCCGGAGCUGCUUUCACGUGGAUUCAAAAUAACUUUGCGACGUGCCCUCCGGAUGCCACUGAUGAUGUGAUCCAGCCACAUGCUAGUGUGUAUAUGUGGUACGUUGUGUCGAGGACUUUGUUUCCUGACUCCACUGGCAAGAACGCUCCAUGGAUGUGGCUGAAGGCAUUGACCGUCUUCAAUAGCAAAUGGAGUUGGGGUUCAGCGACUCUUACCUACUUGUACCGACAGGUAGUUGGUCUGUUUUGUGAUCAAUUCAUUUCUUCAUUAGCAAUGCAAGUUUGCUGUCAAGUUAACAUUGUUUUUCUUUCACAUGUAGCUGGACGAUGCGUGUUGCAGGAUCACACCUAG
Molecule: ribosomal RNA, 420 nt
Filed under: Triticum aestivum (bread wheat)
Lineage: Eukaryota; Viridiplantae; Streptophyta; Magnoliopsida; Poales; Poaceae
Description: partial small subunit ribosomal RNA
Source: RNAcentral